Molecule: unclassified non-coding RNA, 389 nt
Filed under: uncultured Bartonella sp.
Lineage: Bacteria; Pseudomonadati; Pseudomonadota; Alphaproteobacteria; Hyphomicrobiales; Bartonellaceae
Description: partial 16S-23S ribosomal RNA intergenic spacer
Source: RNAcentral
UUGAUAAGCGUGAGGUCGGAGGUUCAAGUCCUCCCAGUCCCACCAAUUUACCUAUCCAUUUGCCUUUAUCUGUUUAUUUGCCGAUUUAUCGGUCCAUUGAAUUUAAGUGUUGGUAGCAGUUUUAUAAUGAUGAGAAAUCAUGCUUAUAAAAGAACUCCUUAUAAAAGGCUUGUUUUUAAAAUGUGACGCUUAUCCAUUUCGCUUAGGCAAGAGAAACUUCAAGCGGUUCAAAUACAAAAGGCUUUAAGUUUUGCAAAACACUUUGAAUUUUGCAAAACACUUUGAAUUUUGCAAAACACUUUGAAUUUUAAAGUGAUCCAAGUUCGUGAUCUCGAAUUUAAAAGUUUCGAAUGCUUUAUCCUUUUUUGGGGGCCGUAGCUCAGCUGGGA